GUCUUGUGAUUCAUCACCACACGGCAAGUCUUACUGAGAGGUUCCACGGCGAGAAGAGUUUCCAACUCAUCAUGUGAUUACUCGCCACAUAAAGGCACAACCGUGUACCAGAUAACUCCGUCAGAGUGACCAAUUGCUUCGAGAGAAGAGUAAUGAAUCCAUGCUUAUGUCAACCAACCUCUUGAGAGCUAGACCACUGUUGUUCUCUACACGCAACACCAUCAUUUUAGUCCCUCUUAAGCA
Molecule: unclassified non-coding RNA, 243 nt
Filed under: Hevea brasiliensis (rubber tree)
Lineage: Eukaryota; Viridiplantae; Streptophyta; Magnoliopsida; Malpighiales; Euphorbiaceae
Source: RNAcentral